GCCUUCGUGGUGUAGUGGUCAGCACUCUCGACGUGGAAACUAGAGGUCCGUGGUUCGAUUUCCGGCGAAGGCG
RNAcentral lists this transfer RNA (73 nucleotides) under Stegodyphus mimosarum. It matches the Rfam family "tRNA". From Rfam's summary of the family: Transfer RNA (tRNA) molecules are approximately 80 nucleotides in length. Their secondary structure includes four short double-helical elements and three loops (D, anti-codon, and T loops). Further hydrogen bonds mediate the characteristic L-shaped molecular structure. tRNAs have two regions of fundamental functional importance: the anti-codon, which is responsible for specific mRNA codon recognition, and the 3' end, to which the tRNAs corresponding amino acid is attached (by aminoacyl-tRNA synthetases). tRNAs cope with the degeneracy of the genetic code in two manners: having more than one tRNA (with a specific anti-codon) for a particular amino acid; and 'wobble' base-pairing, i.e. permitting non-standard base-pairing at the 3rd anti-codon position. Lineage: Eukaryota; Metazoa; Arthropoda; Arachnida; Araneae; Eresidae. The record is from Rfam by way of RNAcentral.